CGGGGUGAGUAAUGUCUGGGAAACUGCCUGAUGGAGGGGGAUAACUACUGGAAACGGUAGCUAAUACCGCAUAACGUCGCAAGACCAAGAGGGGACCUUCGGGCCUCUUGCCAUCGGAUGUGCCCAGAUGGGAUUAGCUAGUAGGUGGGGUAAUGGCUCACCUAGGCGACGAUCCCUAGCUGGUCUGAGAGGAUGACCAGCCACACUGGAACUGAGACACGGUCCAG
RNAcentral lists this ribosomal RNA (227 nucleotides) under uncultured bacterium. RNAcentral describes it as "partial 16S ribosomal RNA". It matches the Rfam family "Bacterial small subunit ribosomal RNA", at positions 104 to 334 of the family's 1533-position model. The record is from RNAcentral.